Molecule: ribosomal RNA, 398 nt
Filed under: uncultured bacterium
Lineage: Bacteria
Description: partial 16S ribosomal RNA
Rfam family: Bacterial small subunit ribosomal RNA
Source: RNAcentral
AUACGUAGGGUGCGAGCGUUGUCCGGAAUUACUGGGCGUAAAGAGCUCGUAGGUGGUUUGUCGCGUCGUCAGUGAAAUUCCGGGGCUUAACUCCGGGCGUGCAGGCGAUACGGGCAUAACUUGAGUACUGUAGGGGAGACUGGAAUUCCUGGUGUAGCGGUGAAAUGCGCAGAUAUCAGGAGGAACACCGGUGGCGAAGGCGGGUCUCUGGGCAGUAACUGACGCUGAGGAGCGAAAGCAUGGGUAGCGAACAGGAUUAGAUACCCUGGUAGUCCAUGCCGUAAACGGUGGGCGCUAGGUGUAGGGGUCUUCCACGACUUCUGUGCCGUAGCUAACGCAUUAAGCGCCCCGCCUGGGGAGUACGGCCGCAAGGCUAAAACUCAAAGGAAUUGACGGGG